AAAACCAAACCAGGACCUGUUAAACUUGGAUUUCUUUUCCUCUACAAGUGCUUCCACCCCAACAGGCAGCCGGUACAAUCUCCCGUCACCAUUAUUUCCCCUUGCGACACCAGUCUACAAAACAACACCAGCCAUAGUAUUGCUUCAACAUCACUCCACAAUUCUAGUGGAAAUGAAGUAAUUAACAAUAGUAACAGUUCAAAAGACGGCUCAAGUCUAAACAACUCACUCCCAGGAGCACCUCAAUCUAUCCCACAACGGCCAGUCUCCUAACCCAGAGUCAAGUCCAGCGUACCCCAGCUUCCCUCGCGUCCAAUCUCUGGUCGCUCCAGUCCAGCCUCCUUCACGUCUCGAUCAGACAGUAGUAGCAGUGUGACCUUCAACACGACAUCCAUGCCUGUUGGAUCCCCCCGAGGAUCAAGUCCUCUUACCAUUGGCAUGUCAGACACCAUUCCAUUAGCCAUCGCUUUCACAGAAACAAACAACGCCUAUUUCAAAAGAACUGAUGCUACAAGAUGCAUGGUUAAGAUUACAGGAAAUAUGAUGAUGUCAUUUCUUGCUGGAGUUGUUCGAGUUUUUACAGAGAAUCCUAAUCCUGCAUUACUGAGCUUCAAACUCAAAAACAUCUCCAAGUUAGAGAACACUAUGCUCAGUAAACAACUG
This is a long non-coding RNA of Saccostrea echinata, 663 nucleotides long. RefSeq lists it as uncharacterized. The record is from RefSeq and is a predicted model, not a curated record. NCBI's taxonomy places the organism in Eukaryota, Metazoa, Mollusca, Bivalvia, Ostreida, Ostreidae. The transcript is spliced from 4 exons.